This 468-nucleotide ribosomal RNA is filed under the name uncultured bacterium. RNAcentral describes it as "partial 16S ribosomal RNA". It matches the Rfam family "Bacterial small subunit ribosomal RNA", at positions 28 to 507 of the family's 1533-position model. The record is from RNAcentral.
GACGAACGCUGGCGGCGUGCUUAACACAUGCCAGUCGAACGGAAAGGCCCUGCUUUUGUGGGGUGCUCGAGUGGCGAACGGGUGAGUAACACGUGAGUAACCUGCCCUUGACUUUGGGAUAACUUCAGGAAACUGGGGCUAAUACCGGAUAGGAGCUCCUGCUGCAUGGUGGGGGUUGGAAAGUUUCGGCGGCUGGGGAUGGACUCGCGGCUUAUCAGCUUGUUGGUGGGGUAGUGGCUUACCAAGGCUUUGACGGGUAGCCGGCCUGAGAGGGUGACCGGCCACAAUGGGACUGGGAUACGGCCCAGACUCCUACGGGAGGCAACAGGGGGGAAUAUUGCACAAUGGGCGGGAGCCUGAUGCAGCAACGCCGCGUGCGGGAUGACGGCCUUCGGGGUGUAAACCGCUUUCGCCUGUGACGAAGCGUGAGUGACGGUAAUGGGUAAAGAAGCAACGGCUAACUACGUG